Molecule: microRNA precursor, 136 nt
Filed under: Hordeum vulgare
Lineage: Eukaryota; Viridiplantae; Streptophyta; Magnoliopsida; Poales; Poaceae
Description: microRNA MIR1122
Rfam family: MIR1120/MIR1122 microRNA precursor family
Source: RNAcentral
UUACUACUUCCUUGGUCUUAAAAUUAUUGUCUUUAAUUUAUCUAGAUAUAAAUGUAUCUAGUCAUGUGUUAGUAUUUAGAUACAUCAAUUUCUAGACAAACGUAAGAUAAGAAUUUUGGAACGGAGAGAGUAUUUU